RNAcentral lists this ribosomal RNA (601 nucleotides) under uncultured fungus. RNAcentral's name for it is "eukaryotic LSU rRNA". It matches the Rfam family "Eukaryotic large subunit ribosomal RNA", at positions 37 to 652 of the family's 3401-position model. Lineage: Eukaryota; Fungi. The record is from RNAcentral.
AGCAUAUCAAUAAGCGGAGGAAAAGAAACCAACAGGGAUUGCCUUAGUAACGGCGAGUGAAGCGGCAACAGCUCAAAUUUGAAAUCUGGCUCUUUCAGGGUCCGAGUUGUAAUUUGUAGAAGAUGCUUCGGGUGUGGUACCGGUCUAAGUUCCUUGGAACAGGACGUCAUAGAGGGUGAGAAUCCCGUAUGUGACUGGUCACCUUCGCUCAUGUGAAGCUCUUUCGACGAGUCGAGCUGUUUGGGAAUGCAGCUCAAAAUGGGUGGUAAAUUUCAUCUAAAGCUAAAUAUUGGCCAGAGACCGAUAGCGCACAAGUAGAGUGAUCGAAAGAUGAAAAGCACUUUGGAAAGAGAGUUAAACAGUACGUGAAAUUGUUGAAAGGGAAGCGCUUGCAACCAGACUUGCACGUAGUUAAUCAUCCGGGGUUCUCCCCGGUGCACUUGGCUACGUUCAGGCCAGCAUCGGUUUCGGUGGUUGGAUAAAGGCCUAGGGAAUGUAGCUCUCUUCGGGGAGUGUUAUAGCCCUAGGUGCAGUGCAGCCCACCGGGACCGAGGACCGCGCUUCGGCUAGGAUGCUGGCGUAAUGGUUGUAAGCGACCCGU